GUGAAGUCGGAAUCGCUAGUAAUCGUGAAUCAGAAUGUCACGGUGAAUACGUUCCCGGGCCUUGUACACACCGCCCGUCACACCAUGGGAGUGGGUUGCACCAGAAGUAGCUAGUCUAACCUUCGGGGGGACGGUUACCACGGUGUGAUUCAUGACUGGGGUGAAGUCGUAACAAGGUAGCCGUAGGGGAACCUGCGGCUGGAUCACCUCCUUA
This 214-nucleotide ribosomal RNA is filed under the name Pseudomonas sp. sia0905. Its description in RNAcentral is "partial 16S ribosomal RNA". It matches the Rfam family "Bacterial small subunit ribosomal RNA", at positions 1320 to 1533 of the family's 1533-position model. The record is from RNAcentral. Lineage: Bacteria; Pseudomonadati; Pseudomonadota; Gammaproteobacteria; Pseudomonadales; Pseudomonadaceae.